Molecule: long non-coding RNA, 1204 nt
Organism: Camelina sativa (false flax)
Lineage: Eukaryota; Viridiplantae; Streptophyta; Magnoliopsida; Brassicales; Brassicaceae
Source: RefSeq, a predicted model, not a curated record
CAUCUCUUCUUAGCUUAGCUUGAUUUAUUUCCUAGCCAUCCUACCAAUGUUUAUUUUUUAUAGAAAAAGGUUAGAAAUUUAGCAAAUUGGUUCCAAUUUGAUUAGAGAAGAGAUAGGCUGGUGUAUAAAAUUACUAUUAGGUUUAUAACCAAGAAAUACAGCUCAUUGAAGACGCAGGUUGAGGCUGGUCCGAUUGAGUAUGGAGAAUGAAUUAGUAAGCCUUUUUUAUGACUGAGUUGGUACUGUCAACUCAUGAAACCCUUCUCCAAUAUCCGCUUAAAUGUCGUUUUUUAGAUUGAAUUUUGAUAUGGAAGAAGAAUGAACUUUGCACAGUAUGUUUUAAAUUACAAUGAGAGAACAAACUGGUAAAACCUUCAACUUUAUCCAUUUACCUAUUUAAUUCAGUGUACUUAUUUCUUUAACAUGUCAUAGCGUUUUUGUUUGCCAGUGAUCAACGUAACCUUUCAAUGAAUUAGCUUCAUCUCUUGAUCCUUUAUUGAAUGACUUUUAGUGUGAAGUUCUGUUGCAUCCCUUAUGUUUUAUAUCAACACUUGAGAAUAUGAUAGAGCACAAUGGUCUCUCUCUAAUGUGAUUUAGCUUCUUUUUUUUUUGGUAGUGCUGAUGGACCCUGCUAAACGUUUUGAGUAUGAUUUCACUAGUGUUAAUGGUAUCCACAAGUAUACUUUACGUGAAUAUCUCCUUUUAGUUUAGGGAAUGAUACUCACUUGCAAUGGGUUCGAUAUCAGCCAAUCUUCAUCACCAUGGUAACAACCUCUUCAGAUCAUUCUCUGUUUAGUUCAUCAUAUUUUUCUAAGAACCUCAAAUUUAACAACCUUCAAUGGACCUAUGAAAUAUGAAAGUUUCUUAAAAAAAAUUUUUAAUUUCACUUUUAUUCAAAAUUAAAAAUAAAAUCUGUUUUAAAAUACUUUCAUUACAUUCUUUAACGGAGAUACUCUAAAUAUUUAAUUUUUAUCUCACCAAGUUGUUAGGGUUUAUUCGAGGUAGUCCCAAGUUCCAAUGUCAAAAUUAGUGUAUAUUUUUACUUCUUCCUCUAAUUUAUAAAAUUUUGGUCCAUUAAAACGUUUAAUUAUUUGUAUUUGCCGGCUAAAAGAUUGAAGAAUUCGUUUUUUUUCUGUGAAAAGUUGUACUUUUUAUACUAUACUGUAUUUGGAAACGUGGACUUUACAGGAUGAAGAAAUAAAAU